This 627-nucleotide ribosomal RNA is filed under the name uncultured bacterium. RNAcentral describes it as "bacterial SSU rRNA". It matches the Rfam family "Bacterial small subunit ribosomal RNA", at positions 56 to 675 of the family's 1533-position model. The record is from RNAcentral.
UGCAGUCGAGCGGUAACAGAUCUAGCUUGCUAGAUGCUGACGAGCGGCGGACGGGUGAGUAACGCGUAGGAAACUGCCGAGUAGUGGGGGAUAGCCCAGAGAAAUUUGGAUUAAUACCGCAUACGCCCUACGGGGGAAAGGAGGGGAUCUUCGGACCUUUCGCUAUUCGAUGUGCCUGCGUGAGAUUAGCUUGUUGGUGGGGUAAAGGCUCACCAAGGCGACGAUCUCUAGCUGGUUUGAGAGGAUGAUCAGCCACACUGGGACUGAGACACGGCCCAGACUCCUACGGGAGGCAGCAGUGGGGAAUAUUGCACAAUGGGGGAAACCCUGAUGCAGCCAUGCCGCGUGUGUGAAGAAGGCCUUCGGGUUGUAAAGCACUUUCAGCAGUGAGGAAAGGUUGUAAGUUAAUACCUUGCAGCUAUGACGUUAACUGCAGAAGAAGGACCGGCUAACUCCGUGCCAGCAGCCGCGGUAAUACGGAGGGUCCGAGCGUUAAUCGGAAUUACUGGGCGUAAAGCGCGCGUAGGCGGCUAGGUCAGUCAGAUGUGAAAGCCCCGGGCUUAACCUGGGAAUUGCAUCUGAUACUGCUUGGCUAGAGUACAGAAGAGGGUGGUGGAAUUUCCUGUG